Molecule: ribosomal RNA, 253 nt
Filed under: uncultured bacterium
Lineage: Bacteria
Description: partial 16S ribosomal RNA
Rfam family: Bacterial small subunit ribosomal RNA
Source: RNAcentral
UACGUAGGGUGCGAGCGUUGUCCGGAAUUAUUGGGCGUAAAGAGCUCGUAGGCGGCUUGUCGCGUCGGAUGUGAAAGCCCGGGGCUUAACUCCGGGUCUGCAUUCGAUACGGGCAGGCUAGAGUGUGGUAGGGGAGAUCGGAAUUCCUGGUGUAGCGGUGAAAUGCGCAGAUAUCAGGAGGAACACCGGUGGCGAAGGCGGAUCUCUGGGCCAUGACUGACGCUGAGGAGCGAAAGCGUGGGGAGCGAACAGG